RNAcentral lists this small nucleolar RNA (143 nucleotides) under Gallus gallus (chicken). RNAcentral describes it as "GGN29 snoRNA". It matches the Rfam family "Small Cajal body specific RNA 3". Rfam says of the family: scaRNAs are a specific class of small nuclear RNAs which localise to the Cajal bodies and guide the modification of RNA polymerase II transcribed spliceosomal RNAs U1, U2, U4, U5 and U12. The record is from RNAcentral. Lineage: Eukaryota; Metazoa; Chordata; Aves; Galliformes; Phasianidae.
CUGGAAGCUGUUGGGACCAGUUGGGACCGGUGGUGGGCAAAACAAGUGUUUUGUCCACUCUUGCAGUCUUCCUAGAGUAAAGUGGAGGUCUCUGUCUGCUUUAGGAGAGCCAACUAAACUGGAUCGUUCCCCUCCAUACAUGU